Molecule: long non-coding RNA, 941 nt
Organism: Papaver somniferum (opium poppy)
Lineage: Eukaryota; Viridiplantae; Streptophyta; Magnoliopsida; Ranunculales; Papaveraceae
Exons: 4
Source: RefSeq, a predicted model, not a curated record
GCUCUUCAAUUAUAUCUGAAGACUCAAGAGGCUGUGAAUGGUGGUGAUGGUGGUUAAUCACACAGAAACGAUAAGAAAAUCAGAGAUACAAAUGUUUGAAUCUAACAAAUUUUGUCUUUACAUUUACAAAUUCAGGUCCAUCCCUAUCUAGCUCAAUUUUUCAUAGUUCAUCUAUUUGUCAAUACAAAUUCUGUUCAUUUGGGUUUUAAUUUUGUUUUUGGUUUGAAAUUUUUUUAUUACCUCCGUUUCACCAAAAGUGAUGCUUUCAUUUUUACCUAAGAAAUGGGCCUAAUUCAAAAAGUAAAAGUAUAUAUGUUUUUGGUGAUGGGGUAUGCUUAAGAUGAAGCCUUACUGCGCAUUCAGGAUCGCCAAUACAAGGAAGAACGUAUUGCAUUCAGGAUCCCCAAGACAAGGAAGAAAGUUGCAGCCGGCGUUGAAAAAGAAACAAGUUGUUGGGUUGUGAUGGAAGGCUGAUUGAGCUGCUGCACCCAAAUGAAAGGCAUCAAAGAUGUUGGGGGUCUCAGCGACAGUAAACAACCGAAGUCAAGAAAAAAAGAGGCUCGACAAAGAAAAAAGUUGGCAAUGACCCAAAGAAGAUUAAUAUGAUGCCGGCGGGGGUCAUUCUCCGUGCAUCAUACCUCAACUCAAAGACUAACAAAGCUGUUGGAGAAAGGAUUAUACCUGUUGCUUCUGACAACUCAAAUGAGUAUCACAACAAAGCUCAAAAGGUACUCAGAUACCUUGGUUUUCACUCCUAUAGUUUUGUAUCUUCGACUAGUUCGUAUAGCUUAAGUUAUGUUAAGUUACUCAGGCCAUGUAUGUUUAGCCUAGUUAGACAGAACAAUUCUCAAAAUUUAGUGUCAUUGUCAUUGAUAUAGGUAUUCUGUUCUCGCAACAAAUAAUAUAUAAAAUUCCAUAGUUUACUGGUUCUUCCUUACCAA